UUGAAAUAAACCUGAUGAGUUGCUGCUGGUUCUCUAGGGAGCAUGUGCACACUUGUCAUCUUUAUAUUUCCACCUGUGAACCUCUUGUAGACCUGGAUAUCUCUCUGAAAUGGUCUAGCAGCCAAUUCGGGUUUGAGGAUUGAUUUUUUUCUUUCCUUAAAUUUUCAGGUCUAUGUUUUUCAUAUACCCCAUGUAUGUUUAUAGAAUGUAAUAAGCGGGCCUUUGUGCCUAUAAACUCAUA
This 241-nucleotide unclassified non-coding RNA is filed under the name uncultured Cortinarius. Its description in RNAcentral is "sequence contains ITS1". The record is from RNAcentral. Lineage: Eukaryota; Fungi; Basidiomycota; Agaricomycetes; Agaricales; Cortinariaceae.